UGGUGGAGUGAUUUGUCUGGUUAAUUCCGUUAACGAACGAGACCUCGACCUGCUAAAUAGACGGAAUCAUCCCUCGGGAUGGUUUCGCGCUUCUUAGAGGGACUAUCGUGUGGUUCAGCCGGUGGAAGUUCGAGGCAAUAACA
Molecule: ribosomal RNA, 143 nt
Filed under: uncultured eukaryote
Lineage: Eukaryota
Description: partial 18S ribosomal RNA
Rfam family: Eukaryotic small subunit ribosomal RNA
Source: RNAcentral